CAGUAGCCGCGGUAAUACGGAGGGUGCAAGCGUUACUCGGAAUUACUGGGCGUAAAGCGUGCGUAGGUGGUGGUUUAAGUCCGUUGUGAAAGCCCUGGGCUCAACCUGGGAAUUGCAGUGGAUACUGGGUCACUAGAGUGUGGUAGAGGAUAGUGGAAUUUCCGGUGUAGCAGUGAAAUGCGUAGAGAUCGGAAGGAACAUCUGUGGCGAAGGCGACUAUCUGGGCCAACACUGACACUGAGGCACGAAAGCGUGGGGAGCAAACAGGAUUAGAUACCCGGGUAGUCCCUGUCUCUUAUAC
RNAcentral lists this ribosomal RNA (301 nucleotides) under uncultured bacterium. RNAcentral's name for it is "partial 16S ribosomal RNA". It matches the Rfam family "Bacterial small subunit ribosomal RNA", at positions 509 to 807 of the family's 1533-position model. The record is from RNAcentral.